This 303-nucleotide ribosomal RNA is filed under the name Vibrio parahaemolyticus. Its description in RNAcentral is "partial 23S ribosomal RNA". It matches the Rfam family "Bacterial large subunit ribosomal RNA", at positions 1532 to 1816 of the family's 2925-position model. The record is from RNAcentral. Lineage: Bacteria; Pseudomonadati; Pseudomonadota; Gammaproteobacteria; Vibrionales; Vibrionaceae.
UUAGGUAAAUCCGGCUCUUUUUAAGGCUGAGACACGACGUCGAGCUACUACGGUAGUGAAGUCAUUGAUGCCAUGCUUCCAGGAAAAGCCUCUAAGCUUCAGAUUGUAAGGAAUCGUACCCCAAACCGACACAGGUGGUCGGGUAGAGAAUACCAAGGCGCUUGAGAGAACUCGGGUGAAGGAACUAGGCAAAAUGGUACCGUAACUUCGGGAGAAGGUACGCUCUUGAUGGUGAAGUCCCUUGCGGAUGGAGCUGACGAGAGUCGCAGAUACCAGGUGGCUGCAACUGUUUAUUAAAAACAC